This 536-nucleotide unclassified non-coding RNA is filed under the name [Emmonsia] sp. AB-2012-1. RNAcentral's name for it is "Emmonsia sp. AB-2012-1 sequence contains ITS1, 5.8S rRNA gene and ITS2". The stretch from base 189 to 342 matches the Rfam family "5.8S ribosomal RNA". Lineage: Eukaryota; Fungi; Ascomycota; Eurotiomycetes; Onygenales; Ajellomycetaceae. The record is from RNAcentral.
GGACGGUCUCCAACCGGGGACCCGGCCCCUCCACCUGGCCACCCUUGUCUAUCUCACCUGUUGCUUCGGCGGGCCUGCAGCGAUGCUGCCGGGGGAGCUCUUGGCUCUCCGGGCUCGCGCCCGCCGGGGACACCGUAGAAAACACUGGUUAAAGAUUGACGUCUGAGACUAUAACUGUAAUAAGUUAAAACUUUCAACAACGGAUCUCUUGGUUCCGACAUCGAUGAAGAACGCAGCGAAAUGCGAUAAGUAAUGUGAAUUGCAGAAUUCCGUGAAUCAUCGAAUCUUUGAACGCACAUUGCGCCCCCUGGUAUUCCGGGGGGCAUGCCUGUCCGAGCGUCAUUGCAACCCUCAAGCCCGGCUUGUGUGUUGGGCUCUCGUCCCCCGUGGACGUGCCCGAAAUGCAGCGGCGGCGUCGCGUACCGGUGCCCGAGCGUAUGGGGCUUUGUCACCCGCUUCAGAGGCCCGGCCGACUCCGGCCCAUUGAAAAAUCGGGGUGGGGGGGUCCUCGGACCCCUCUCCCCAAACCAGGUUGA